GACGAACGCUGGCGGCGUGCUUAACACAUGCAAGUCGAACGGAAAGGCCGUGCUUUUGUGGGGUGCUCGAGUGGCGAACGGGUGAGUAACACGUGAGUAACCUGCCCUUGACUUUGGGAUAACUUCAGGAAACUGUGGCUAAUACCGGAUAGGAGCUCCUGCUGCAUGGUGGGGGUUGGAAAGUUUCGGCGGCUGGGGAUGGACUCGCGGCUUAUCAGCUUGUUGGUGGGGUAGUGGCAUACCAAGGCUUUGACGGGUAGCCGGCCUGAGAGGGUGACCGGCCACAUUGGGACUGAGAUACGGCCCAGACUCCUACGGGAGGCAGCAGUGGGGAAUAUUGCACAAUGGGCGGAAGCCUGAUGCAGCAACGCCGCGUGCGGGAUGACGGCCUUCGGGUUGUAAACCGCUUUCGCCUGUGACGAAGCGUGAGUGACGGUAAUGGGUAAAGAAGCACCGGCUAACUACGUG
RNAcentral lists this ribosomal RNA (468 nucleotides) under uncultured bacterium. RNAcentral describes it as "partial 16S ribosomal RNA". It matches the Rfam family "Bacterial small subunit ribosomal RNA", at positions 28 to 507 of the family's 1533-position model. The record is from RNAcentral.